This 253-nucleotide ribosomal RNA is filed under the name uncultured bacterium. Its description in RNAcentral is "partial 16S ribosomal RNA". It matches the Rfam family "Bacterial small subunit ribosomal RNA", at positions 524 to 776 of the family's 1533-position model. The record is from RNAcentral.
UACGUAGGUGGCGAGCGUUGUCCGGAAUUACUGGGUGUAAAGGGCGUGUAGGCGGGCAGAUAAGUCAGAUGUGAAAUACCGGGGCUCAACCCCGGGGCUGCAUUUGAAACUGUAUGUCUUGAGUGCCGGAGAGGAAAGCGGAAUUCCUAGUGUAGCGGUGAAAUGCGUAGAUAUUAGGAGGAACACCAGUGGCGAAGGCGGCUUUCUGGACGGUAACUGACGCUGAGGCGCGAAAGCGUGGGUAGCAAACAGG